UUCCGGUUGAUCCUGCCGGACCUUACUGCUAUCGGGGUGGGACUAAGACAUGCGAGUCGAGCGUCUCUAGCUAUGUUGAGACGCGGCAGACGGCUCAGUAACACGUGGCUAACCUACCCUCAGGACGAGGAUAAACCCGGGAAACUGGGGCUAAUACUCGAUAGGUGAGAAUGUCUGGAAUGAUUUCUCAUUCAAAGGGCUUUAGAAACAUGCUUCUAAAGUCGCCUGGGGAUGGGGCCGCGUCCGAUCAGGUUGUUGGUGAGGUAACGGCUCACCAAGCCUAUAACCGGUACGGGCCGUGAGAGCGGUAGCCCGGAGAUGGGUACUGAGACAAGGACCCAGGCCCUACGGGGCGCAGCAGUCGCGAAAACUCCGCAAUGCACGAAAGUGUGACGGGGCUACCCCGAGUGCCAUCCGCUGAGGAUGGCUUUUCUUUGGUGUAACUAGCCGGGGGAAUAAGGAGAGGGCAAGACUGGUGUCAGCCGCCGCGGUAAUACCAGCUCUCCGAGUGGUAGGGAUGAUUAUUGGGCUUAAAGCGUCCGUGGCCGGCUUAGCAAGUCUCCUGUUAAAUUCAGCGACCUAAUCGUUGAGCCGCGGGAGAUACUACUAGGCUAGGAGGCGGGAGAGGUCGACGGUACUUCUGGGGUAGGGGUGAAAUCCUAUAAUCCCGGGAGGACCACCAGUGGCGAAGGCUGUUGACUAGAACGCGCUCGACGGUGAGGGACGAAAGCUGGGGGAGCGAACCGGAUUAGAUACCCGGGUAGUCCCAGCCGUAAACGAUGCGGGCUAGGUGUUGGGGUGGCUACGUGCCACUUCAGUGCCGCAGGAAGCCAUUUAGCCCGCCGCCUGGGGAGUACGCGCAGCUGAACUUAAGAAUUGCGGGGAGCACACAGCGUGAGCUUGCGGUUCAUUGGAUCACGCCGUU
This 925-nucleotide ribosomal RNA is filed under the name uncultured archaeon. RNAcentral describes it as "bacterial SSU rRNA". It matches the Rfam family "Archaeal small subunit ribosomal RNA", at positions 1 to 919 of the family's 1478-position model. The record is from RNAcentral.